RNAcentral lists this ribosomal RNA (381 nucleotides) under uncultured eukaryote. RNAcentral describes it as "partial 18S ribosomal RNA". It matches the Rfam family "Eukaryotic small subunit ribosomal RNA", at positions 592 to 976 of the family's 1831-position model. The record is from RNAcentral.
UGUAAGCGUAUACCAAAGUUGUUGCAGUUAAAACGCUCGUAGUCGGAAUUUGGCAGUUCCGGAUGUGUGCACGUCGUGUGCGCACUUCGCGGGGAUUGCUUUUGUGGUCUUGCGUAGGAUGAGGCACUUUUAUUAGUGAACGUCCUCACGCAACCACUUUUUACUGUGAGAAAAUCAGAGUGCUCAAAGCAGGCAUUUGCCGUGAAUGUAUUAGCAUGGAAUAAUAGAAUAGGACUUGGUUCUAUUUUGUUGUUUGUUGGGACUGAGUAAUGAUUAAGAGGGACAGUUGGGGGCAUUUGUAUUUCGGUGCUAGAGGUGAAAUUCUUAGAUUACCGAAAGACAAACUGCUGCGAAAGCGUCUGCCAAGGAUGUUUUCAUUGA